UGGGGAAUAUUGCACAAUGGGCGCAAGCCUGAUGCAGCGACGCCGCGUGAGGGAUGACGGCCUUCGGGUUGUAAACCUCUUUCAGCAGGGAAGAAGCGCAAGUGACGGUACCUGCAGAAGAAGCGCCGGCUAACUACGUGCCAGCAGCCGCGGUAAGACGUAGGGUGCAAGCGUUGUCCGGAUUUACUGGGCGUAAAGCGCGCGUAGGCGGUCUGUUAAGUGAGAAGUGAAAUCUCCAGGGCUCAACCCGGAAACUGCUUUUCAUACUGGCAGACUUGAGGAAUGCAGAGGCAACUAGAAUUCCUGGUGUAGCGGUUACAUGCAUUGAUAUCAGGAGGAAUACCCAUGGCGAAGGCAGGUUGCUGGGCAUUAUCUGACGCUGAGGCGCGAAAGCGUGGGUAGCAAACA
This 408-nucleotide ribosomal RNA is filed under the name uncultured bacterium. Its description in RNAcentral is "bacterial SSU rRNA". It matches the Rfam family "Bacterial small subunit ribosomal RNA", at positions 355 to 774 of the family's 1533-position model. The record is from RNAcentral.